CCUACGGGGGGCAGCAGUGGGGAAUAUUGGACAAUGGGCGAAAGCCUGAUCCAGCCAUGCCGCGUGUGUGAAGAAGGCCUUCGGGUUGUAAAGCACUUUCAGUGGGGAAGAAAGCCUUGGGGCUAAUACCCUCGAGGAAGGACAUCACCCACAGAAGAAGCACCGGCUAACUCCGUGCCAGCAGCCGCGGUAAUACGGAGGGUGCGAGCGUUAAUCGGAAUUACUGGGCGUAAAGCGCGCGUAGGCGGUCUGAUAAGCCGGUUGUGAAAGCCCCGGGCUCAACCUGGGAACGGCAUCCGGAACUGUCAGGCUAGAGUGCAGGAGAGGAAUGUAGAAUUCCCGGUGUAGCGGUGAAAUGCGUAGAGAUCGGGAGGAAUACCAGUGGCGAAGGCGGCCUUCUGGACUGACACUGACGCUGAGGUGCGAAAGCGUGGGUAGCAAACAGGAUUAGAUACCCUGGUAGUC
RNAcentral lists this ribosomal RNA (465 nucleotides) under Vreelandella stevensii. RNAcentral's name for it is "partial 16S ribosomal RNA". It matches the Rfam family "Bacterial small subunit ribosomal RNA", at positions 338 to 795 of the family's 1533-position model. The record is from RNAcentral. Lineage: Bacteria; Pseudomonadati; Pseudomonadota; Gammaproteobacteria; Oceanospirillales; Halomonadaceae.